AUUGAACGCUGGCGGCAGGCUUAACACAUGCAAGUCGAGCGGGGGAAGGUAGCUUGCUACCGGACCUAGCGGCGGACGGGUGAGUAAUGCUUAGGAAUCUGCCUAUUAGUGGGGGACAACAUCUCGAAAGGGAUGCUAACACCGCAUACGUCCUACGGGAGAAAGCAGGGGAUCACUUGUGACCUUGCGCUAAUAGAUGAGCCUAAGUCGGAUUAGCUAGUUGGUGGGGUAAAGGCCUACCAAGGCGACGAUCUGUAGCGGGUCUGAGAGGAUGAUCCGCCACACUGGGACUGAGACACGGCCCAGACUCCUGCGGGAGGCAGCAGUGGGGAAUAUUGGACAAUGGGGGGAACCCUGAUCCAGCCAUGCCGCGUGUGUGAAGAAGGCCUUAUGGUUGUAAAGCACUUUAAGCGAGGAGGAGGCUCUUUUGGUUAAUACCCAAGAUGAGUGGACGUUACUCGCAGAAUAAGCACCGGCUAACUCUGUGCCAGCAGCCGCCGUAA
Molecule: ribosomal RNA, 503 nt
Filed under: uncultured bacterium
Lineage: Bacteria
Description: partial 16S ribosomal RNA
Rfam family: Bacterial small subunit ribosomal RNA
Source: RNAcentral